GAUGAACGCUGGCGGCGUGCCUAAUACAUGCAAGUCGAGCGAACAGAUGAGGAGCUUGCUCCUCUGACGUUAGCGGCGGACGGGUGAGUAACACGUGGAUAACCUACCUAUAAGACUGGGAUAACUUCGGGAAACCGGAGCUAAUACCGGAUAAUAUAUUGAACCGCAUGGUUCAAUAGUGAAAGACGGUUUUGCUGUCACUUAUAGAUGGAUCCGCGCCGCAUUAGCUAGUUGGUAAGGUAACGGCUUACCAAGGCAACGAUGCGUAGCCGACCUGAGAGGGUGAUCGGCCACACUGGAACUGAGACACGGUCCAGACUCCUACGGGAGGCAGCAGUAGGGAAUCUUCCGCAAUGGGCGAAAGCUUGACGGAGCAACGCCGUGUGAGUGAUGAAGGUCUUCGGAUCGUAAAACUCUGUUAUUAGGGAAGAACAAAUGUGUAAGUAACUAUGCACGUCUUGACGGUACCUAAUCAGAAAGCCACGGCUAACUACGUG
Molecule: ribosomal RNA, 497 nt
Filed under: uncultured bacterium
Lineage: Bacteria
Description: partial 16S ribosomal RNA
Rfam family: Bacterial small subunit ribosomal RNA
Source: RNAcentral